This 218-nucleotide ribosomal RNA is filed under the name Campeiostachys nutans. RNAcentral's name for it is "Elymus nutans partial small subunit ribosomal RNA". The stretch from base 50 to 218 matches the Rfam family "Eukaryotic small subunit ribosomal RNA", at positions 695 to 864 of the family's 1831-position model. Lineage: Eukaryota; Viridiplantae; Streptophyta; Magnoliopsida; Poales; Poaceae. The record is from RNAcentral.
GGGUCUACCCAUUGGUCAGGCUUAAUUGCCUGCACUGGUGAGAUGGACCUCUACCUUCUGAGGAACUUUCAUGCCAUUUAUUUGGUGUGAUGGGAAAUCAGGACUGUUACUUUGAAAAAAUUAGAGUGUUUAAAGCAGGCAUUCGCUUGAAUACAUUAGCAUGGAAUAAUGAAAUAGGACGGACUGAUUCUAUUUCGUUGGUUUCUAGGAUCACCGUA